RNAcentral lists this ribosomal RNA (251 nucleotides) under uncultured bacterium. RNAcentral's name for it is "partial 16S ribosomal RNA". It matches the Rfam family "Bacterial small subunit ribosomal RNA", at positions 94 to 339 of the family's 1533-position model. The record is from RNAcentral.
AGUGGCGCACGGGUGAGUAACGCGUAGAUGAUAUGCCUUUUAGUGGGGGACAACAGUUGGAAACGGCUGCUAAUACCGCAUAAGCUUGGUGACAUUGAAAAAACCAAGGAAAGGGGGCUUCGGCUCUCGCUAGAAGAUUGGUCUGCGUGACAUUAGCUUGUUGGUGGGGUAAUGGCCUACCAAGGCGACGAUGUCUAGCUGGUCUGAGAGGAUGAUCAGUCACACUGGAACUGAGACACGGUCCAGACUCC